RNAcentral lists this ribosomal RNA (490 nucleotides) under uncultured bacterium. RNAcentral's name for it is "partial 16S ribosomal RNA". It matches the Rfam family "Bacterial small subunit ribosomal RNA", at positions 30 to 507 of the family's 1533-position model. The record is from RNAcentral.
AUUGAACGCUGGCGGCAGGCCUAACACAUGCAAGUCGAACGGUAACAGGAAGCAGCUUGCUGCUUCGCUGACGAGUGGCGGACGGGUGAGUAAUGUCUGGGAAACUGCCUGAUGGAGGGGGAUAACUACUGGAAACGGUAGCUAAUACCGCAUAACGUCGCAAGACCAAAGAGGGGGACCUUAGGGCCUCUUGCCAUCGGAUGUGCCCAGAUGGGAUUAGCUAGUAGGUGGGGUAACGGCUCACCUAGGCGACGAUCCCUAGCUGGUCUGAGAGGAUGACCAGCCACACUGGAACUGAGACACGGUCCAGACUCCUACGGGAGGCAGCAGUGGGGAAUAUUGCACAAUGGGCGCAAGCCUGAUGCAGCCAUGCCGCGUGUAUGAAGAAGGCCUUCGGGUUGUAAAGUACUUUCAGCGGGGAGGAAGGGAGUAAAGUUAAUACCUUCGCUCAUUGACGUUACCCGCAGAAGAAGCACCGGCUAACUCCGUG